This 301-nucleotide ribosomal RNA is filed under the name uncultured bacterium. RNAcentral's name for it is "partial 16S ribosomal RNA". It matches the Rfam family "Bacterial small subunit ribosomal RNA", at positions 509 to 807 of the family's 1533-position model. The record is from RNAcentral.
CAGCAGCCGCGGGAACACGUAGGGUGCAAGCGUUAAUCGGAAUUACUGGGCGUAAAGCGUGCGCAGGCGGUUAUAUAAGACAGAUGUGAAAUCCCCGGGCUCAACCUGGGAACUGCAUUUGUGACUGUAUAGCUAGAGUACGGCAGAGGGGGAUGGAAUUCCGCGUGUAGCAGUGAAAUGCGUAGAUAUGCGGAGGAACACCGAUGGCGAAGGCAAUCCCCUGGGCCUGUACUGACGCUCAUGCACGAAAGCGUGGGGAGCAAACAGGAUUAGAUACCCGCGUAGUCCCUGUCUCUUAUAC